RNA transcript from Cyprinus carpio (common carp), 1677 nucleotides. It is a transcript of the gene named cdc42 effector protein 4-like, with no coding region annotated. NCBI's taxonomy places the organism in Eukaryota, Metazoa, Chordata, Actinopteri, Cypriniformes, Cyprinidae. The record is from RefSeq and is a predicted model, not a curated record.
UACUUAUUUUGGCAAUAAAAGUUAAAUAUCACCAUUGACCAAAAAAUAAAACAUCCAUAUUGACCGACCACCCCCGUGUAUCUGCAAGAAAUGGUUUGGUCCUGCUUUAGCGCACUCAUCAGUGACGGGGUUUAGUUAGUUGCAGACAGUGAAUCAAUGCAUUGCGCGCUAGAAAUACAGAGACCAUAAUGUUGAGUAGUAAAAUAAAAUCUGGUUUUCAGAAAAGGAAAGAGAGUAAAGAGAGAGAGGAAAGACAAAAGAAAGGGUGUCGUUCUGUAUCCCAGUUUUUCAACAAGAAAGGCCUUUUAAGUUUGAAUUAGCCAGCUGGGCCUCUGGAAGGCCUGGUUCCUGACCCUUAACAUUUGCACUGUAAACCUGACCGACAGCAGGAGGAGACACUGGCUGGCUGAUGUGCCACUCACCCAAUCUUCAAGCAAACAUCAGGCUCACCUACAGGGUUCCACUGCAGAUUUUGGCCUGCUGGUUGUUGGGGUGGUUGUCAUGGGUGGAGUCAAACAUCUGGACAACAGAGGAUCGGAAAACCCGAGAACACUCUUGAAAUGGCAACAGGAAACAAGGAGAAAUGAAGUGAGCUCCGUGCCAGAGGCUCUUUAGAGAUCCAAGAGUCCCAUCAGCAGUAGCGCAGAAGGGUCCAUAAACCCAGCGGUCUCCACUCAAGUUUCCAUCUGCUAAAUUCUAGUCUGGUUAAAUAAGAGGCGGAAACUUUUUCCAGCAGAGACCACUAUAACUACUGUACUGAGAUCAGUGGGACAGCUAGACGUGAGAAUUGGCUUCAACAUCCAUGACCUUCAGAGAGAAACAGAGAGCUGAAUGUGCAUACAGUAACUGCUCUACAAAUCAGGAAAUUAUGUAUUAAAAGGUUUCUGUUUCCUCGUGUCUCAGAGAACCAGAGGACAAGCUCUGCCCUGUCAAACUCAAUCUGCUCCAUCUCCUUGAGUCUGGGACAAUAAGAACGUCUCCACCAAGAUCCUGGAUCACUGACAAACAAAGCAUUGCACUGGCAUGACAGAAAAGUGAUAACAGGACAGCUAUAUCUCCUUCUGGUGCAUGACUGCUCGAGCUUGUUACACAUCAUUCAACUUGUCUCUUUACUUGAUUUUCUUUCAAAGACCUCUUUCUUGUCCUUAUUUCUUCUCUUUCUUUAUUUUAGAGCAGAUAGCUGCUCAAGACAGUGGAUAUGCACACAUAGACAGAGUUUCACCGAGAUGGAUGUAGGAUGAUGGUAUGAUAUCAAUGUUUGCGGUAGGAGGAUGAGUGGGCAGAACAAUAUGGCUGCCCUGUCAGUUGUUUUUUUUUGUUGUUGCCAAAUUGUUGGUUGAAGCUGAGUGGACAGAGUUUAGCAAGAAAGAGAUUGUUUUACGUUGAGGAUUGUUCGGCUUUUAUUCCUGUUAUGUGGGUGGAACUAGAAGUAUUAACAGGCCAUUUCCGAUACUGUCCUCCUCAGCUUUUAAUCAGCUUUAUCACGCCUCGCUUAUGUCUGAGUAAUGCGUGAUGACACAGUUCAUCUGAGGUUUCGGAGAACUCACACCACACUGAUAUAUUCUGCAGUGAGUUCAUCUGGGCAUGGCAACCACGUGAAACGGCAAAAGAUUUCCCUUUAGCCAUACAGUCUACAUUUUUAAGUUAUAUUGUUGACUCUUAAUGGAAUUUAUAGAU